RNAcentral lists this ribosomal RNA (244 nucleotides) under uncultured bacterium. Its description in RNAcentral is "partial 16S ribosomal RNA". It matches the Rfam family "Bacterial small subunit ribosomal RNA", at positions 29 to 253 of the family's 1533-position model. The record is from RNAcentral.
AACGAACGCUGGCGGCGUGCCUAACACAUGCAAGUCGAGCGGGAAAGUGGGAGCAAUCCUGCGAGUACAGCGGCGCACGGGUGAGUAACACGUAGGUAACCUACCUCCGAAACUGGGAUAACCUGUCGAAAGAUGGGCUAAUACCGGAUAAGACCACGAGAGCUUUGGUUCUUGGGGUAAAAGGGUGGCCUCUUCUUGAAAGCUACCGUUUGGGGAGUGGCCUGCGUGCCAUUAGCUAGUUGGU